RNAcentral lists this ribosomal RNA (253 nucleotides) under uncultured bacterium. RNAcentral describes it as "partial 16S ribosomal RNA". It matches the Rfam family "Bacterial small subunit ribosomal RNA", at positions 524 to 776 of the family's 1533-position model. The record is from RNAcentral.
UACGUACCGGACGAACGUUAUUCGGAAUUACUGGGCUUAAAGAGUACGUAGGCUGACUUGUAGGUGAGAUGUGAAAUCCCACGGCUCAACCGUGGAACUGCGUUUCAAACCACAAGACUUGAGGGAGACAGGGGUGAGCGGAACUGAUGGUGGAGCGGUGAAAUGCGUUGAUAUCAUCAGGAACACCGGUGGCGAAGGCGGCUCACUGGGUCUCUUCUGACGCUGAGGUACGAAAGCUAGGGUAGCGAACGGG